Cydia amplana is the source of this 552-nucleotide long non-coding RNA. RefSeq lists it as uncharacterized. NCBI's taxonomy places the organism in Eukaryota, Metazoa, Arthropoda, Insecta, Lepidoptera, Tortricidae. The record is from RefSeq and is a predicted model, not a curated record. The transcript is spliced from 4 exons.
UGGUGAAAAAUCGAAUAAAAUUGAUGAUAUUUACUAUGAACAAGUGCAUGAAAAAAUAGGGGACAUUAAAAUUAAAAGAAAAAAAGUCCAAAACGUAACACGUACGGAACGUAAAAAGAAUGUGACGAAAAGCAGGAACAUUGGGCGAAAGCUACCUAAAUUUAAUUUUGCGACAUUUGAGAGUACCUACAAUCUUAAAAUUGUCACUUUGAACAAGGAAGAGCAACUGGAAGAGAUCGCAACACGCAAGAAGUCUCUGAACUACCUGGAGUCGCCGUUCAAGUGCGAGGACUGCGGGAAAGGGUUCGGCGUGGAGUCCGCCUACAACAACCACCGAGUCUGGCAUAGCCCGAGCAACGGUCCGCACUCGUGUGAGAUCUGCUCUUCGUACUACACGCGCCGCCGGCUCAAUAUACACCAGAAGCGGCACCAGCUAAAGUUCAUUUGCAACGAGUGCAACUUCGUCUCCAGACACGGGGCACAAGCCAUCAGGCACCACGCCACGCACACGGGCAAGACCUACGAGUGUCCACACUGCUUGAAGAGCUUCAU